CCUACGGGUGGCAGCAGUGGGGAAUAUUGGGCAAUGGGCGCAAGCCUGACCCAGCAACGCCGCGUGAAGGAAGAAGGCUCUCGGGUUGUAAACUUCUUUUAUCAGGGACGAAGCAAGUGACGGUACCUGAUGAAUAAGCCACGGCUAACUACGUGCCAGCAGCCGCGGUAAUACGGAGGAUCCGAGCGUUAUCCGGAUUUAUUGGGUUUAAAGGGAGCGUAGGCGGGCGAGAAAGUUGAAUGUUAAAUCUACCGGCUUAACUUGGGGGUUGCAUGGGAAACUGUAGAGCUUGAGUACAGGAGAGGCAAGCGGAAUUCCUAGUGUAGCGGUGAAAUGCAUAGAUAUUAGGAGGAACACCAGUGGCGAAGGCGGCUUGCUGGACUGAAACUGACGCUGAGGCUCGAAAGCGUGGGGAGCAAACAGGAUUAGAUACCCCGGUAGUC
Molecule: ribosomal RNA, 443 nt
Filed under: uncultured bacterium
Lineage: Bacteria
Description: partial 16S ribosomal RNA
Rfam family: Bacterial small subunit ribosomal RNA
Source: RNAcentral